GUGGGGAAUCUUGCGCAAUGGGCGAAAGCCUGACGCAGCCAUGCCGCGUGAAUGAUGAAGGUCUUAGGAUUGUAAAAUUCUUUCACCGGGGACGAUAAUGACGGUACCCGGAGAAGAAGCCCCGGCUAACUUCGUGCCAGCAGCCGCGGUAAUACGAAGGGGGCUAGCGUUGCUCGGAAUUACUGGGCGUAAAGGGCGCGUAGGCGGAUCGUUAAGUCAGAGGUGAAAUCCCAGGGCUCAACCCUGGAACUGCCUUUGAUACUGGCGAUCUUGAGUAUGAGAGAGGUAUGUGGAACUCCGAGUGUAGAGGUGAAAUUCGUAGAUAUUCGGAAGAACACCAGUGGCGAAGGCGACAUACUGGCUCAUUACUGACGCUGAGGCGCGAAAGCGUGGGGAGCAAACAGGAUUAGAAACCCUAGUAGUCC
RNAcentral lists this ribosomal RNA (425 nucleotides) under uncultured Brevundimonas sp. RNAcentral's name for it is "bacterial SSU rRNA". It matches the Rfam family "Bacterial small subunit ribosomal RNA", at positions 354 to 796 of the family's 1533-position model. Lineage: Bacteria; Pseudomonadati; Pseudomonadota; Alphaproteobacteria; Caulobacterales; Caulobacteraceae. The record is from RNAcentral.